Molecule: non-coding RNA, 93 nt
Organism: Mycena rebaudengoi
Lineage: Eukaryota; Fungi; Basidiomycota; Agaricomycetes; Agaricales; Mycenaceae
Source: the annotation of a GenBank genome assembly
GGCCCAGUGGUGUAUUGGUAAACAUGCCUAUUCAUUGUGACUUUCUCACUCGAUGUUUUGUGGGAGAUCCCUGUUCGAGUCGGGGCUGGGUCA